This 255-nucleotide ribosomal RNA is filed under the name uncultured bacterium. Its description in RNAcentral is "partial 16S ribosomal RNA". It matches the Rfam family "Bacterial small subunit ribosomal RNA", at positions 167 to 424 of the family's 1533-position model. The record is from RNAcentral.
UACCGCAUACGUCCUACGGGAGAAAGCAGGGGACCUUCGGGCCUUGCGCUAUCAGAUGAGCCUAGGUCGGAUUAGCUAGUUGGUGAGGUAAUGGCUCACCAAGGCGACGAUCCGUAACUGGUCUGAGAGGAUGAUCAGUCACACUGGAACUGAGACACGGUCCAGACUCCUACGGGAGGCAGCAGUGGGGAAUAUUGGACAAUGGGCGAAAGCCUGAUCCAGCCAAGGCGCGUGUGUGAAGAAGGUCUUCGGAUU